Homo sapiens (human) is the source of this 713-nucleotide long non-coding RNA. Ensembl annotates it as long intergenic non-protein coding RNA 2269. Lineage: Eukaryota; Metazoa; Chordata; Mammalia; Primates; Hominidae. The record is from Ensembl.
AGUUGGCAGGAUGGCAGCAGCAGACACACAGGGUGGUUAAGAACAACAAACACAGGCAAACCACUUCAAUAGAACAUGGCUGGCGGCCAUAUGGACAUAUUUGAAUCCAACAAUUAAUUCAGCAAAGAAAGCUGCUUGUGGCAAGUUUUGAAUGUGCCAUUCCAGGUAGUGCUUUGAUGAUAAAUGAGGAGAAGAUUGCAAAGAAAAUGACAGCAACAUUUAUAAAAGGAUUCCUCUUAGGACUCUAGAUGCACGGAGAGUGGCCAGAUUAAUACAGACUGGCAAAAGAAGAACUUGGCAAAGUGAUUUGAUCACACACUUCUCACCCUCACAUCUCCUGACAGUUCCCCUAAUCCCUGCCCCACUUCCCCGCCAUGGGCUUCCAUCAGGAAACUCCUUGAUAUCAUCUUCGUUACAGGAAUGCAGAUGUGAUUCCUAUGGAUGAGGGUAACCUAGAGGCUAGAAGAACAAUAGGACAGAAGAAGCCUGGGUCCCUGAACAACCUUGUGGAGCAUAGACACCUACGUGGCCUGGACUGCCAGCUCACAAUGGGCCUCUCUGUGAGAGAAGGAAACUUCCCUCUUGUUUAAGCAACUGUGCUUUUGAGAAUCUCUUGGUCUAUACCCUAAUGAAUAAGGCCAUCAUAAAUGGAUAUCAAAGUAAGGAAAUUUGUGUAAAUGAUUUAAUAAAACAUUACCUCAGGUAUGAAAUAA